CAGUAGCCGCGGGAAUACGUAGGUGGCAAGCGUUGUCCGGAAUUAUUGGGCGUAAAGGGCUCGCAGGCGGUUUCUUAAGUCUGAUGUGAAAGCCCCCGGCUCAACCGGGGAGGGUCAUUGGAAACUGGGAAACUUGAGUGCAGAAGAGGAGAGUGGAAUUCCACGUGUAGCGGUGAAAUGCGUAGAGAUGUAGAGGAACACCAGUGGCGAAGGCGACUCUCUGGUCUGUAACUGACGCUGAGGAGCGAAAGCGUGGGGAGCGAACAGGAUUAGAUACCCGGGUAGUCCCUGUCUCUUAUAC
RNAcentral lists this ribosomal RNA (301 nucleotides) under uncultured bacterium. RNAcentral's name for it is "partial 16S ribosomal RNA". It matches the Rfam family "Bacterial small subunit ribosomal RNA", at positions 509 to 807 of the family's 1533-position model. The record is from RNAcentral.